RNAcentral lists this unclassified non-coding RNA (214 nucleotides) under plant metagenome. RNAcentral's name for it is "partial contains small subunit ribosomal RNA and internal transcribed spacer 1". The record is from RNAcentral.
AAGUUAUAAUAAGGUUUCUAUAGGUAAACCUAUAGAAAGAUUAUUACCUUUCUAGCUAUUUAAUAGCUUGUUAGGGGGCUAUAGUCUCUAUAGCCUCUAACUAAAUCUAUGUUUUUUACGUACUAUAUAUUUCCUUAGCAGGCUUGCUUACUAGUUAGAUAACCUAAAACUCUUUGUAAUUGUAAUUAGCGUCUAAAUUAUUUAAUAAUUAUAA